CUUGAUUUCAUCAUCCAAUUAUGGAUAUCUUCAGUUCUUUGCAGCUAUCUCUGGAGCUCGGAAUUUGGAGUAACUAUGGAACUAAGACACGAUUUCGAAAUUCAGAAUCGCGAGGCAAAUUUUGUGUUCUCCGCGCUAAUUUAUCAUCAUUUUCGGCUAAUAAAUUUCCAAGUUCAUCACAGAAGUCGGGAUAUGAACUUUAUAAGUGAGAGAAUAAUUAUUUGUUACAGUUUCAGGAACAGUGUGGUUGGAGUAGAGAUCUUUCGAAGAGGAUACAGAGACGAGCAUGCAUCAUCUCAUCUAGGAAUCAUAGACUUAAAUGCCACUGUUUUGUGAAUAGAGUGCCCUCUUUCGAUGCUGCGAAUAUAAAGAGUGCCACUUCAACUCUACCAAGAUCCUUGAAUGGAAAUCCCCAUGUGAUCAAAUUGGCUUCAGCUGUAGGUUUUGUUAUUUUUGCAAUAUGGGGACUCAGGCCGCUUGUCAGACAAUGCAGAAACAAAUUUUUUGGGGUUCGUGGUUGGUAAUGCAGUUUCUCCUUGUCAAAACUCACUGUUGUAUGCUUCUAUGGAACAAUUAUAUGGAAAGAGGCUACAUGAAGUUGAGUUGACUCUUUUUAUUGCCUAUAUUAAACCACCUUCCAUCAUACUGAAUGCAGAAAAGUGAUAGCAGCUGGUGAAGAAGCAGCACAUUUCAUGUCACAGCCUCUUACAUUCAACCUUUACUGCUAUGGGCAGGAGCAAUCUACAUCUGCAGAGCAUUGGAUCCAAUGAUUCUUCCUUCCGAAGCUGGCCAGAUUGUUAAAAAGCGGGUCCUAAAUUUUGUCAGAUCAUUAUCAACAGUGCUGGCCGUUGCAUAUUUAUUUUCAAGUGUAUUUCAACAAGCACAAAAAUUCUUCAUGGAGACAAAUGAACUCACGGAUGCUAAUGGGCUUCCAGUUUGUUGGCAGGACUGUAUACACAGCUGUAUGGGUAGCUGCAGUGUCAUUGUUUAUGGAGUUGCUAGGUUUCUCAACCCAAAAAUGGAUUACGGCUGGAGGGUUUGGGACAGUUUUGAUCACUCUCGCUGGACGUGAGAUUUUCACAAAUUUCCUAUCAAGUGUGAUGAUUCAUACAACCAGGCCAUUUGUUGAUGAAUCCGCGAAUUUCUGAUCUUAGUAAAUGCUAGUAGAGAAUGAAGAUUAUGACACAAAGAAUUUACGUGGUUCGAUUUACUGAAGUAAAUCUACGUCCACGGGAAGAAGGGAGGGCAAGAU
RNA transcript from Salvia splendens (bonfire salvia), 1252 nucleotides. RefSeq lists it as uncharacterized. The record is from RefSeq and is a predicted model, not a curated record. NCBI's taxonomy places the organism in Eukaryota, Viridiplantae, Streptophyta, Magnoliopsida, Lamiales, Lamiaceae. The transcript is spliced from 8 exons.